Molecule: long non-coding RNA, 648 nt
Filed under: Pan troglodytes (chimpanzee)
Lineage: Eukaryota; Metazoa; Chordata; Mammalia; Primates; Hominidae
Description: lincRNA
Source: RNAcentral
UGGUUCUGCCAUGGACAAGCUGAAGUCUCUCUGGGACCAGGGGACCCGCAUGGCCCAGCCACCCCACCCCACCAUCUCCCAGGCAUGUGAGAAAAUAUCACAUUCUCUGUGUUUUGGAGAUUUCUUCUAAAUGUAUUUUCCAACUAUCAUUUCAUAGCAAAUCAGCGAGAAAAAAGGUAUAAUAUUAGGCAGAAACCCAAUAUAAAAAGAAAAGCAGAGUUGUUGUAGAUUCAUCGAGGGCUGGCGACCUGGUUCCAAUGAGCCAUCUCCCCGUUCCGACAGGGGCUUCCUGGAGCUCCUGCAACCCCAGGCAUUAGUUCCAGUGCAGUUCUAGGAUCAGAUCAAUUCACUCGACAACAAGAGAAACAAAUGGAGAUUCCUACACAAAGACUUUCAAGCACAAAGAAAUCCUGCUGCCUGUAAAGUGGAGCUGCCUCAGCUCUUGAUGAACGACAGAAAAUACCACCUACUGCCAGACCUCAACGCCUCACAAAACUCUCACCCACCUACUGCUUUUAGCUCACAUUCCAGGAAUUCAGAUGAAGUGAAGUGCUCUCAUGGGGACCAGGCAUGGUUAUUCCAGUCCACUGCCCUGCAAGCCUCAAGGGAAGCCAACUGCCCUUCAGCAAGUCACACCUGCCUUGGUGG